RNAcentral lists this long non-coding RNA (3822 nucleotides) under Homo sapiens (human). Its description in RNAcentral is "HSALNT0121986". The record is from RNAcentral. Lineage: Eukaryota; Metazoa; Chordata; Mammalia; Primates; Hominidae.
GGACUCAUGGUGGCCUGAGCAGAGAGUAAGGAGUGAUCCUCAAGUAUGCCCCCCACCUUGGAGGACCAGGAGGGUGGAAGGGGAGUUUAAAGUGCAAAGACAGGCUCCAGGCUGGGAGUUCUGGAAUAAAUACAACUUGCAAAGGGUUGUAUUCAGAACAUUCCUACAAGUCAACAAUAAAAGACAAACAGCUUAGUAGAAUAAAUGGUGAAAAAUAGAAACAAAAUUCACAGAAGGAACCUGAAUGCCUAAUAAAAAUAUAAAUGGGAGUUCAACCUCACCAUGACAAGGGAAAUGCAUGGGCAAUCCAACUUUACACUCAGCAUGACUGCAAACAUUACAGAGUCCAUUAAAAUGGUGAGGAGCUGAGCAACAAGACCCACUCGCAGGAGGGGUACAGAGGAUGCCCUGUGACCCCGCAACUCCACUCACAGGAAAUGCCUAGGGAAUCUCUCACACUUGAGAAUGACUGCUGCAUUGUUGUAAUAUUGAGAAAUUGGGGCCAACCUAAGUACUCACCAACAGGAUGUUGUUAAAUAAACUGUGAUAUCUACUCAAUGGAAUAUCACACCCCACCUAGGGGAGCAGAGGAGACUGUGUAUGGACACAGACAGCUCAUGAAGGUAAGGGAGAAAGAAAAGCAACUCACAAAGAUACUGAUUUAUACGGUUUACAAAUACACGUACAGUGAAAAAUGACACCAUCAAGCCAGGCACAGUGGUGCACACUUACAGUCCCAGCUACUUGGGAGGCUGAAGCAGGAGGAUCACUUGAGCCCAGAGGUUUGAGUCCAGUCUGGGCAACACAGGAAAAACUCUGUCUCAAAAAAAAAAAAAACUUUUAAAAUGACCAUAUCAUGGAAAAUUCUGGAGAGCAGUUAUCUUGGGACAGAGAUGAGGCAGUUGGCGGGGCGGGGCGGGGUGGGGGGGAACAGGGGACAGGGGUGGUCACAGGAGUCCUAGCUGCUCUGAAGUCGUGAGUGGGGACAGCAGAGCCUGUUCAGGAGGCUGCUGACUGUCCAGGGCUUUGCUGAGUGCCUGGCUCUGCCAAUGGGAGGUUACCAGCAGGAGAGCCUGGAGUGUCGAGGAGUCACCACGGCCCUGCACUCAGUUAAUGCUCUACUGUUGCUGUCUGGAUAUCACUUGACUUUUGGGUGUGGUUGGUGUUGCUUUAAGUUUCUGGGGAUAGCAAAAGCUUAAGAAGUGACUCUUGCCAUCACAUGGCUGACCACCUCUGGUGAGAACACUGGAGAAUAGUUUAGGGGUGCCCGAGUUUCCCCCACUGCAUAGAGCCUGGUGCCAGGGAAGACAGGCUGGACCUGGCUGUGGCCCCUUGAAUGGUGGCAGGGAGACCACAGCACAUCGCAGGGCCCUGAGGAUGACGUGUAUUUGAGGGGGCAGGGUUCUCCAGUAGCAGGUGUUGCACAGUGGGGAAUGGUGGGUGCAGAGCUGGGUUAGUUUUAGCAGAGGUGUGAAGGUGAUUCCUCUCUGAGCUGGAGGUGGAAGCAAAUGGGAAAACGGUCUGGCAUAAACAGACAAGCCCCGGGGAGGCAGACAGCGUCCACCACUACCAGACAAGGCCUAUUCUACCUCCUUGCCUGGCUGUCCCCUCCUUAGGCCUGUUGCCCCUUCCUCUCUAGACCCUCUGCCUGCCAGGUGUGUAAGCCUUUCUGCCUGGACAGCCUCAUUGAGACAGCCCUAGACUAACAGUCACCCAUAUUGAGCCCAAGCCCACCCUGCAUGAUGCCAAGCUUAGAAAUGUCACCCUGGAGUCACAAAAUCCCUUCUUUGCAUUACCAAAAGAGGUGGUCACUCAGGGGUGCUGGAAUCUUCCCCACCUUAAGGCUUAGCUCCAGUCUGUAGCCCAUUCCCUGACAGGUACCUGGGUUUCCCAGCCUUUGAUGACCCCAAACGCUGUCUCUUCCCUAAGGGUCACUGCCUUGGGAUUUGCCUGCAGGCUAGGCACACCUGGUAAAUGAGGUCUCCACACACUGGGUCAUUAGUACCCACAAGCAAUCACUGUUGAGUUCAUGAACUCUCAGGCUGGAGCUCAGCAGUCCCACUAGGGACCACCACUGGGGUCACAAGAUGGCCUUGAUCCCCAGUUAUCUGGAUCCCCAGUUCCCUGAACCAGAGCAGCUUCCUAAACUCCCUAGUCCAGCAGAGGUUAGGGCUCGCUUUCCCUGCUAGAGGGGCCUCCUCCAAACCCCACAGUGCCCCAACAACACUUCCUGUCCUCUGGUAGACCCUUACCUGCCUGUGUCUUGCACAAAGUGCACACUGGGAGGCAAGAGCCUGUCUCUGCAGUAAGAAGGGCUUGGGGCAGUGCUCCGCUGGCAGGCAGACAAGGCAGGCAGGGCCCCAGCCCAAUGCCUGAGUCAGCAGGCUCCUAACAGCCUGAGUGACCUCCUCAUAGCAUGGGGUCAGUGCAGCGGCAAUGUCUGGGUUGUUGAGGGUUUUGAUGGGUGAUCAAUGCUGGAGGAUCCUCCCUCUGCCUUCCCCAUCCAACACAGAUCAUCUCCAAUGUGCCAGACCUGUGCUGGGCAACAAGGUUGGCUGAGAUGGCCUGAGACAGGGUCCCUUGAUGAACAGUCCACUGGGAAUGGGGCCUGCAGUGGCCCUGGAUGAUUUCAGUAUCUGCCACUCACCUUGGUCAUGAUGCCACAGAGAGUGUGGCAUGGCCAGGACUGUACCUGGGGCAGAUGGUCUUGCUCUUUGGUUCUGGGGAGGAGCGCAAAGUGACUGGGCUCAGGUGAAGGAGCUGUUGGCUUAUGAGGAGGCUGCUCCAAGAAGCAAAUAGGAGACAAGGAACCACUGGCCUGCAGAUGGGGCAGGAUCCUGGACCUGGGCCCCCCGAGUCACCAGCCACAUGGCCUUGGGAGUGUUACUUACUCCUGUGAUUGUAGCACAAUGAGGGGUUAGACUACAAAGUCCCUCAGGCCCUGACCAGCUCUGGGGAAGAAGGCCUAGGACUGAGAGAGGCAGCAGGGAGGCUGGCCAGGGUCACCUCCCAGGUCCAGGCAGCUUUCCUGCAAGUGUUUCCUAAGCUGUCCUUCUCCAGGGAGAAUAGCCUCAGCCCUGCCUGACAGGAGGCGGCAUACACCUGAGCGCCUGACAGUACCCUCGUGAACCUGCCUGAGGGUGGCCACAUUCCCACACCCCAUGUGUGCCUAUCUCCAUCAGCACUGAGAAGACAGCAAACGCCAGCUUGCCAGGGGUUUACCCAGAAAGCCCAGCGCAUACCCCCAGAGUGUUCUGGCAGACCUGUGCCAGCUGGGUUCAGUGACAGUUCAUCCUGCCAUGGGCUCUGGUCUCCCCAUCACCCUCUGAGGGGGAAGCAGGAAGUUGUGAGGGGUAGCCGGGCCUGACCUCUCUUCCCUGGCACGAUGCUGUCUCCCUGUGCAAAGUGGGGACUUCAGGCAUUUGGUGUGGAGGAAUGGGUGGUGGGAUUGAAAACCCCUACCAGACCCCUGUCACACCAAGGAGCCCAGCGAUGGGGGGGUUUCUUCCCUCCCUCUGAGGUAAGACCAAUCUGUUAAACUUUCAGUACUAAAAAAUAAAACCGAGUGGGAGGAAGGUGAGGACUGAAAAACUACAUAUCAGGUAUCAUGCUGAUUACCUGGGUGACAAAAUUAUCUGUACACCAAACCCCUAUGAUCCAAUUUACCCAUGUAACAACCCUUGAACCUAAAGUUGGAAAGAAAAAAAAAGGUAAAAUUAACAAAUCCAUAUUAGUGUGAGCUGGGUGAGUAGUUUAGUCUGAAAUGACAGAAUAUUCAUUUUUCGUCUCUCUGAGAUAGUGACCACACUGUCCUCACCAGGA